GGGCCCGCACAAGCGGUGGAGCAUGUGGUUUAAUUCGAUGAUACGCGAGGAACCUUACCAGGGCUUAAAUGCAGUAUGACAGGUUUGGAAACAGACCCUUCUUCGGACAUAUUGCAAGGUGCUGCAUGGUUGUCGUCAGCUCGUGCCGUGAGGUGUCAGGUUAAGUCCUAUAACGAGCGCAACCCCUGUUGUUAGUUACCAGCGAGUCAAGUCGGGCACUCUAACAAGACUGCCGGUGCAAACCGAGAGGAAGGUGGGGAUGACGUCAAAUCAUCACGGCCCUUACGUCCUGGGCUACACACGUGCUACAAUGGCCGGUACAGCGAGCAGCCACUGCGCGAGCAGGAGCGAAUCUACAAAGCCGGUCACAGUUCGGAUUGGAGUCUGCAACUCGACUCCAUG
RNAcentral lists this ribosomal RNA (402 nucleotides) under uncultured bacterium. RNAcentral's name for it is "bacterial SSU rRNA". It matches the Rfam family "Bacterial small subunit ribosomal RNA", at positions 917 to 1322 of the family's 1533-position model. The record is from RNAcentral.